This is a long non-coding RNA of Helianthus annuus (common sunflower), 817 nucleotides long. RefSeq lists it as uncharacterized. Lineage: Eukaryota; Viridiplantae; Streptophyta; Magnoliopsida; Asterales; Asteraceae. The transcript is spliced from 3 exons. The record is from RefSeq and is a predicted model, not a curated record.
UGCACAUGCCACGCUUCCCCACAUAUCUCUUGUGUUUACAUCAUGUGGGAUUGAGAUAUCAGACAGAGAUCAUGAGAGAGGGAGGCGGAGCUGCUGGCGGAGCACGGCGGCGGUGGAUCUGUUGACGCGUGGACCACUCACUCCCGCUAAACCAAGGGUGGUCAACACAGCGAUGAAGGUGUUCCGAUCACUUUGGCGACGAUGGCGUUUAUCCUCCUUGUCCUCUUAUCAUUUUUUACGCCUGAGUGUGGUGGUGGCUACAUGAAAUUGCUUAGUGUUGAUGUGGAUCAAAAGAAAUUUGGCAAUGAUACUCCUUACAGGUUAUUAUUUACAAAUAUUAUUUCAUAUUGUAUUCAUGUUAUUAUUGCUUAUUGAUAUUAAUGUUUAUUACAAUAUCAUGUUCGGACCUCCUAUUUGUGGGUAUCAUGUUUGGACCACAUAUUUGUGGGUAAUCAUGAAUUCAUGAUGAUGUGGAAGUUGGGAUGAAAGGUCACCCUCCUCGAAAAGAACAUGCGGAUGGUGAUUCCUUGGUACAUGUAGGGCAUGACUUACUGUGGUAAAUGUUGUGUUUAUGAUGCGUUUAAUUGUGCUGACAUGGGACUGAGACAAUGUGAUAUAAUUCAUGCCCAGAGGUGAAGAUUAAGUUGUUCACCACAUAUAAGAAGAUACUGGUAAAGCAUAUACUUUAAGGGGAAUAUGCAUGGAGUGGAGAAGUUGUUAUGUGCAACGCCCAACUUUUACACAUACAAAAUUUAAAAAAAUAUGGCAUACUAAUCUUUAACAAAAAUUGAGCAUGACCCGUUCAUACAUUAAACAA